GUGGUGUAUUGCAGGUACCGCAUGAAUAAGGACCGGCUAAUUCCGUGCCAGCAGCCGCGGUAAUACGGAAGGUCCGGGCGUUAUCCGGAUUUAUUGGGUUUAAAGGGAGCGUAGGCCGCUGUUUAAGCGUGUUGUGAAAAACCGGGGCUCAACUCCGGUCGUGCAGCGCGAACUGGACGGCUUGAGUGCGCGGUAAGUGGGCGGAAUUUGUGGUGUAGCGGUGAAAUGCUUAGAUAUCACGAAGAACUCCGAUUGCGAAGGCAGCUCACUGUAGCGCAACUGACGCUGAAGCUCGAAAGUGCGGGUAUCGAACAGGAUUAGAUACCCUGGUAGUCCGCACGGUAAACGAUGGAUGCCCGCUGUUCCGGCAUUAGUUGGAGUGGCCAAGCGAAAGCGUUAAGCAUCCCACCUGGGGAGUACGCCGGCAACGGUGAAACUCAAAGGAAUUGACGGGGGCCCGCACAAGCGGAGGAACAUGUGGUUUAAUUCGAUGAUACGCGAGGAACCUUACCCGGGCUUGAACUGCAGGAGAACGAUUCAGAGAUGAUGAGGCCCUUCGGGGCUCCUGUGGAGGUGCUGCAUGGUUGUCGUCAGCUCGUGCCGUGAGGUGUCGGCUUAAGUGCCAUAACGAGCGCAACCCCUCUCCGUAGUUGCCAUCAGGUAGUGCUGGGCACUCUGCGGACACUGCCACCGUAAGGUGUGAGGAAGGUGGGGAUGACGUCAAAUCAGCACGGCCCUUACGUCCGGGGCUACACACGUGUUACAAUGGGGGGUACAGAGUGUUGUUCGCAUGCAAAUGCGUACUAAUCAUGAAAGCCCUCCUCAGUUCGGACUGGGGUCUGCAACCCGACCCCACGAAGCUGGAUUCGCUAGUAAUCGCGCAUCAGCCAUGGCGCGGUGAAUACGUUCCCGGGCCUUGUACACACCGCCCGUCAAGCCAUGAAAGCCGGGGGCGCCUGAAGUCCGUGACCGCGAGGGUCGGCCUAGGGUGAAACCGGUGAUUGGGGCUAAGUCGUAACAAGGUAGCCGUACCGGAAGGUGCGGCUGGAACACCUCCUUUCU
This 1062-nucleotide ribosomal RNA is filed under the name Prevotella sp. P2-180. RNAcentral describes it as "bacterial SSU rRNA". It matches the Rfam family "Bacterial small subunit ribosomal RNA", at positions 461 to 1533 of the family's 1533-position model. The record is from RNAcentral. Lineage: Bacteria; Pseudomonadati; Bacteroidota; Bacteroidia; Bacteroidales; Prevotellaceae.